AGCCAACCGCAGAAGUGAACGGACCAAGAGCCUGGUGUGGCCAGCCGUGGCAUCUUUGGAACCAUUAUCAUCCUGUGCCUUCAUUUGAAAUACAGAUAAGAACACACGUAAACCUACCCGGGUAGUGAAAAGAACGUACAUACUCCAAGACACACACACACCAAGAACUUUCUUGGACUCUUUCUUUAUUUGAAGUUAUUUAUUUUGGGUUUAUAGUGCGCUGUGCACUCAGGAAGCCGGCUUAGGUAGGCAGGGAAUGUAAAUAACUGCCAUUCAUUUUGUAUAAUACAUUUCUCAAAUCUACCUGUUUUGUGUUGUCUGUUCUCUGCUGACCUUUUACUAUUUCAGGCUCCGUAGUCGUACCUAGAGGUUCUGAUAUUAGCCCAGAUUUAAUUCCUUACUACUUAAAUUAGUUAUCAGUUACACUAACCUGAGACACGGGUUACAUCUCCAGUGCUCAGCUCUCAC
Molecule: long non-coding RNA, 468 nt
Organism: Sinocyclocheilus grahami
Lineage: Eukaryota; Metazoa; Chordata; Actinopteri; Cypriniformes; Cyprinidae
Exons: 3
Source: RefSeq, a predicted model, not a curated record